Molecule: unclassified non-coding RNA, 430 nt
Filed under: Trichoderma harzianum
Lineage: Eukaryota; Fungi; Ascomycota; Sordariomycetes; Hypocreales; Hypocreaceae
Description: partial contains 18S rRNA, ITS1, 5.8S rRNA, ITS2 and 28S RNA
Rfam family: 5.8S ribosomal RNA (bases 147-300)
Source: RNAcentral
GAUCUCUGCCCCGGGUGCGUCGCAGCCCCGGACCAAGGCGCCCGCCGGAGGACCAACCAAAACUCUUUUUGUAUACCCCCUCGCGGGUUUUUUUUAUAAUCUGAGCCUUCUCGGCGCCUCUCGUAGGCGUUUCGAAAAUGAAUCAAAACUUUCAACAACGGAUCUCUUGGUUCUGGCAUCGAUGAAGAACGCAGCGAAAUGCGAUAAGUAAUGUGAAUUGCAGAAUUCAGUGAAUCAUCGAAUCUUUGAACGCACAUUGCGCCCGCCAGUAUUCUGGCGGGCAUGCCUGUCCGAGCGUCAUUUCAACCCUCGAACCCCUCCGGGGGGUCGGCGUUGGGGAUCGGCCCUCCCUUAGCGGGUGGCCGUCUCCUAAAUACAGUGGCGGUCUCGCCGCAGCCUCUCCUGCGCAGUAGUUUGCACACUCGCAUCG